This 428-nucleotide ribosomal RNA is filed under the name uncultured prokaryote. Its description in RNAcentral is "bacterial SSU rRNA". It matches the Rfam family "Bacterial small subunit ribosomal RNA", at positions 355 to 774 of the family's 1533-position model. The record is from RNAcentral.
UAGGGAAUAUUGCGCAAUGAACGAAAGUUUGACGCAGCGACGCCGCGUGAGUGAUGAAGGUCCUCGGAUCGUAAAGCUCUGUCAAGAGGGAAGAAGUGUUGGUACUCUAACAUAGUAUCAAUUUGACGGUACCUCUGAAGGAAGCACCGGCUAACUCCGUGCCAGCAGCCGCGGUAAUACGGAGGGUGCAAGCGUUAAUCGGAAUUACUGGGCGUAAAGCGCGCGUAGGCGGGUUUGCAAGUCAGAAGUGAAAUCCCCGGGCUCAACCUGGGAAUAGCUUUUGAUACUGUGGACCUUGAGUUCGGGAGAGGGUGGCGGAAUUCCAGGUGUAGGAGUGAAAUCCGUAGAUAUCUGGAGGAACAUCAGUGGCGAAGGCGGCCACCUGGCCCGAUACUGACGCUGAGGUGCGAAAGCGUGGGUAGCAAACA